This 87-nucleotide transfer RNA is filed under the name Acholeplasma sp. RNAcentral describes it as "tRNA-Leu". It matches the Rfam family "tRNA". Rfam says of the family: Transfer RNA (tRNA) molecules are approximately 80 nucleotides in length. Lineage: Bacteria; Bacillati; Mycoplasmatota; Mollicutes; Acholeplasmatales; Acholeplasmataceae. The record is from RNAcentral. RNAcentral also lists the same sequence under 3 other names.
GCCCAAGUGGUGAAAUUGGUAGACGCGCUGGACUCAAAAUCCAGAGGGAUCAAACCCGUGCCGGUUCGAGUCCGGCCUUGGGCACCA